RNAcentral lists this ribosomal RNA (253 nucleotides) under uncultured bacterium. RNAcentral's name for it is "partial 16S ribosomal RNA". It matches the Rfam family "Bacterial small subunit ribosomal RNA", at positions 524 to 776 of the family's 1533-position model. The record is from RNAcentral.
UACGAAGGGGGCUAGCGUUGCUCGGAAUCACUGGGCGUAAAGGGCGCGUAGGCGGCCAUUUAAGUCGGGGGUGAAAGCCUGUGGCUCAACCACAGAACUGCCUUCGAUACUGGAUGGCUUGAGACCGGAAGAGGUAAGUGGAACUGCGAGUGUAGAGGUGAAAUUCGUAGAUAUUCGCAAGAACACCAGUGGCGAAGGCGGCUUACUGGUCCGGAUCUGACGCUGAGGCGCGAAAGCGUGGGGAGCAAACAGG